ACAGGGAUUGCCCUAGUAACGGCGAGUGAAGCGGCAACAGCUCAAAUUUGAAAUCUGGCGUCUUUGGCGUCCGAGUUGUAAUUUGCAGAGGGCGCUUUGGCAUUGGCAGCGGUCCAAGUUCCUUGGAACAGGACGUCACAGAGGGUGAGAAUCCCGUACGUGGUCGCUAGCCUUUACCGUGUAAAGCCCCUUCGACGAGUCGAGUUGUUUGGGAAUGCAGCUCUAAAUGGGAGGUAAAUUUCUUUUAAAGCUAAAUACUGGCCAGAGACCGAUAGCGCACAAGUAGAGUGAUCGAAAGAUGAAAAGCACUUUGGAAAGAGAGUUAAAAAGCACGUGAAAUUGUUGAAAGGGAAGCGCUUGCAGCCAGACUUGCCUGUAGUUGCUCAUCUGGGUUUUUACCCAGUGCACUCUUCUAUAGGCAGGCCAGCAUCAGUUUGGGCGGUUGGAUAAAGGUCUCUGUCAUGUCCCUUUCUUCGGGGAGAACUUAUAGGGGAGACGACAUGCAACCAGCCUGGACUGAGGUCCGCGCAUCUGCUAGGAUGCUGGCGUAAUGGCUGUAAGCGGCCCGUCUUGAAACACGGACCAAGGAGUCUAACAUCUAUGCGAGUGUUUGGGUGUCAAGCCCGAGCGCGUAAUGAAAGUGAACGGAGGUGGGAACCUUUCGGGGUGCACCAUCGACCGAUCCUGAUGUCUUCGGAUGGAUUUGAGUAAGAGCAUAGCUGUUGGGACCCGAAAGAUGGUGAACUAUGCUUGAAUAGGGUGAAGCCAGAGGAAACUCUGGUGGAGGCUCGCAGCGGUUCUGACGUGCAAAUCGAUCGUCAAAUUUGGGCAUAGGGGCGAAAGACUAAUCGAACA
This 855-nucleotide ribosomal RNA is filed under the name Ascochyta sp. RSB-2020a. RNAcentral's name for it is "partial large subunit ribosomal RNA". It matches the Rfam family "Eukaryotic large subunit ribosomal RNA", at positions 68 to 941 of the family's 3401-position model. Lineage: Eukaryota; Fungi; Ascomycota; Dothideomycetes; Pleosporales; Didymellaceae. The record is from RNAcentral.